Molecule: ribosomal RNA, 313 nt
Filed under: uncultured bacterium
Lineage: Bacteria
Description: bacterial SSU rRNA
Rfam family: Bacterial small subunit ribosomal RNA
Source: RNAcentral
GAUGAACGCUGGCGGCGUGCCUAACACAUGCAAGUCGAACGGAUCCAUAUUGAAACCUAGUGAUGUAUGGGUUAGUGGCGGACGGGUGAGUAACGCGUGGAUAACCUGCCGUAUACAGGGGGAUAACACUUAGAAAUAGGUGCUAAUACCGCAUAAGCGCACGGUUCCGCAUGGAACAGUGUGAAAAACUCCGGUGGUAUACGAUGGAUCCGCGUCUGAUUAGCCAGUUGGUGGGGUAACGGCCCACCAAAGCGACGAUCAGUAGCCGGCCUGAGAGGGUGAACGGCCACAUUGGGACUGAGACACGGCCCAA